CUUCACCGAGCCGAGCCAGAGCGGGUGUUCGGGGUCCCGUCCCUGGCCGUACGUGGCGAGGAGCGCCUGGGCCUC
Molecule: antisense RNA, 75 nt
Filed under: Streptomyces sp. DI166
Lineage: Bacteria; Bacillati; Actinomycetota; Actinomycetes; Kitasatosporales; Streptomycetaceae
Description: ASpks TB sRNA
Rfam family: ASpks TB sRNA
Source: Rfam by way of RNAcentral